AACUUACCAUAGGAACGGCAUCCUUUUUUUCGUUGGCGGGAGCGAAGCUCCCGCCAACGAAAAAAAGAUAGAGUGGAUAGCCGGAUUAAGC
RNAcentral lists this small RNA (91 nucleotides) under Chryseobacterium profundimaris. RNAcentral describes it as "Flavo-1 RNA". It matches the Rfam family "Flavo-1 RNA". The record is from RNAcentral. Lineage: Bacteria; Pseudomonadati; Bacteroidota; Flavobacteriia; Flavobacteriales; Weeksellaceae.